CCUACGGGUGGCAGCAGUGAGGAAUAUUGGUCAAUGGGCGCGAGCCUGAACCAGCCAAGUAGCGUGAAGGAUGACUGCCCUACGGGUUGUAAACUUCUUUUAUAAAGGAAUAAAGUGAGGCACGUGUGCCUUUUUGUAUGUACGUUAUGAAUAAGGAUCGGCUAACUCCGUGCCAGCAGCCGCGGUAAUACGGAGGAUCCGAGCGUUAUCCGGAUUGAUUGGGUUUAAAGGGAGCGUAGAUGGGUUGUUAAGUCAGUUGUGAAAGUUUGCGGCUCACCCGUAAAAUUGCAAUUGAUACGGGCAGCCUUGAGUACAGUUGAGGUAGGCGGACUUCGUGGUGUAGCGGUGCACUGCUUCGAUCUCAC
RNAcentral lists this ribosomal RNA (365 nucleotides) under uncultured bacterium. Its description in RNAcentral is "partial 16S ribosomal RNA". It matches the Rfam family "Bacterial small subunit ribosomal RNA", at positions 338 to 700 of the family's 1533-position model. The record is from RNAcentral.